RNAcentral lists this long non-coding RNA (328 nucleotides) under Vitis vinifera (wine grape). RNAcentral describes it as "long non-coding RNA (VVIN_LNC002148)". Lineage: Eukaryota; Viridiplantae; Streptophyta; Magnoliopsida; Vitales; Vitaceae. The record is from RNAcentral.
GUCAGAGUUGAGUCUGAGCCUGACAUGUCCCUUGUGCCGAGGAGCUGUUUUAGGCUGGAAAGUUGUAGAAGAAGCCAGAGAAUCUCUCAACCUGAAGCCACGAAGUUGCUCACGAGAAUCAUGCUCGUUCUCUGGUAACUACCGUGAGUUACGUCGGCAUGCCAGAAGAGUUCACCCAACAACCCGUCCUGCUGAUAUUGACCCUUCAAGAGAGCGAUCCUGGCGACGUCUUGAGCACCAAAGGGAACAUGGUGACAUUAUCAGUGCCAUCCGCUCUGCUAUGCCAGGUGCAAUUGUGCUUGGGGACUAUGCUAUUGAGAGUGAGGAU